This 417-nucleotide ribosomal RNA is filed under the name uncultured bacterium. RNAcentral's name for it is "bacterial SSU rRNA". It matches the Rfam family "Bacterial small subunit ribosomal RNA", at positions 355 to 786 of the family's 1533-position model. The record is from RNAcentral.
UGGGGAAUAUUGCGCAAUGGGGGGAACCCUGACGCAGCAACGCCGCGUGCAGGAAGAAGGUCUUCGGAUUGUAAACUGUUGUCGCAAGGGAAGAAGACAGUGACGGUACCUUGUGAGAAAGUCACGGCUAACUACGUGCCAGCAGCCGCGGUAAUACGUAGGGGGCAAGCGUUAUCCGGAUUUACUGGGUGUAAAGGGAGCGUAGACGGAGCAGCAAGUCUGAUGUGAAAGGCAGGGGCUCAACCCCUGGACUGCAUUGGAAACUGUUGAUCUUGAGUACCGGAGGGGUAAGCGGAAUUCCUAGUGUAGCGGUGAAAUGCGUAGAUAUUAGGAGGAACACCAGUGGCGAAGGCGGCUUACUGGACGGUAACUGACGUUGAGGCUCGAAAGCGUGGGGAGCAAACAGGAUUAGAUACC